GAUGAACGCUGGCGGCGUGCUUAACACAUGCAAGUCGAACGGUGAAGCAGGAGCUUGCUCUUGUGGAUCAGUGGCGAACGGGUGAGUAACACGUGAGCAACCUGCCCCUGACUCUGGGAUAAGCGCUGGAAACGGCGUCUAAUACUGGAUAUGUGAUGUGACCGCAUGGUCUGCAUCUGGAAAGAAUUUCGGUUGGGGAUGGGCUCGCGGCCUAUCAGCUUGUUGGUGAGGUAAUGGCUCACCAAGGCGUCGACGGGUAGCCGGCCUGAGAGGGUGACCGGCCACACUGGGACUGAGACACGGCCCAGACUCCUACGGGAGGCAGCAGUGGGGAAUAUUGCACAAUGGGCGGAAGCCUGAUGCAGCAACGCCGCGUGAGGGAUGACGGCCUUCGGGUUGUAAACCUCUUUUAGCAGGGAGGAAGCGAAAGUGACAGUACCUGCAGAAAAAGCACCGGCUAACUACGUGCCAGCAGCCGCAGUAA
This 484-nucleotide ribosomal RNA is filed under the name uncultured bacterium. Its description in RNAcentral is "partial 16S ribosomal RNA". It matches the Rfam family "Bacterial small subunit ribosomal RNA", at positions 28 to 523 of the family's 1533-position model. The record is from RNAcentral.